ACCGUCAAAACCCUCUCCUACGUGAAAGAAUUGUAUAACAUAAUCAUGAUGUUGUUUAUGUACAUUGCACUAUUAUACCGGGCACUUAUCGAAGUUGCAUAUGUGCAUUCCAAAGUCUCAUGGAAGCCACAUUAUAUGAAGACCUAUGACGUGAAUUACUUUGGAAGUAAAAGAAGAGUAAAUUUACUAUAACUGGCCCAAGCAAUACAAAGAAGCUCGGAUCUUUUGGGAUCCAUCUCUCGGAUGAACUGGUUCAUCAAUGAAAGUUGCGCCGGCUGGCAGAGCACCUUCCAUUUGCAGGCCAUUCCAAUCACCUUGUCACAUAUACCAUCAAUGCUUCGCAUGUAUUUUCACUUGAAACAAAGAGAGUUGCGGAAUUUCCAUAGGGCCCACAAAACUGAGUUGGAUAGCAUAUUAUGAACAUAAUAUUAUUUGGACUAAUCCACCAACCGCUCAUAGAUUGAAAGCCAUGGCCCAUCUGAAUGGCAGAGAAGAGGCCCCAAAUCUGUCACACAAUAAAUAAAAAGGUGAUGUACGAACUCUGUGUCAAUAAUGAAGAUGCAUGUUAAAUCAUCCACAUGUUAUCACGGGUUUAGCUAGAUUAUCACGGGUUAAGAGUUUUUUAUUAGCAAGAAGCCAUAUCUUCCAAGUUUUAAAUUGGGAUGGACAGAGGGUUAGAAUAAAUAAUGUUUCUUUUUGAACAUUAUAAACUUUACUCCUCAAACCAUUGACAUAUCGUUUACAAUGUGAAGAAGAAUAGAGUCAGGGAUAGUAGAGUCCCAGAGUUCAGAAUGAAUUCGAAAUAAAAGAAAAUUUGGCUAAGCUAUCAGCAACCAUAUUAGUUUCUCCGCAAUAAUAACUUUAGUCAAUACUGGCAAAAUCCAUAGCGAGUUGAAUACAUUCUGAUAUUACUGCCACAUCAGGACCCAUAUAAUCAUUUGCUCGUGUAACAGCCUCCACCGCAAAUAUGCUAUCUGAUUCGACGAAUACCUUCCUGCGUCCAAUUCUCCCUGCUAGGUACAGGCCAUUCCGAAUAGCACUCAACUCUGCUGAUUCUGCACUGCGAACAUGGGGCAGAACCCAAGUUGUUGCCGAAAUAAAAUUCCAUUUACGGUCUCUUGCCACCGCUCCCCUGGAGCCAGAGAGUGUUUCCUCAGUCCUGCAAGAUAGUUUUGAGUGAGUAUCAUCCGCAAACAGCAGGUGAGUAACCGUGGGGCCAGUGCUCCCAAAAGAAAUCCCUUUUAUAUCGGCCAGUACUCUGCGCCGGCGCACCAGCGCGAGUUUCGGCCGGUCCAACCCGAGCCGCUCGAUCUGGACGUGCGGGACCGUCUGAUCUGUCCCGCAUCCCCCUUCGUCAUCCUCCGCACAGGGAAAAAGGGGGAGAAAAAAGCGAGCGCCGCCGCCGCUCGCGGGAUCCCGCACGCUAGCCCCCGCUGCCCUGCUUUGGACCCUCGCUGCUUCUACUUGCCGCCGGCGCUCGCGGCCUAGCCGCUGCUGCCGAAGCAAAACAUCACCCGCCUUCACCACCACCGGCAAAGCAAAAAAUGCCGGUUCCAGCGAAAUCGAAAGACGGUUGAAGCAAUUUUUAGGCUGGUUCCAGCAAAAUCAAAACAAAAACAAAGGGGUGGUAGCAAAACUCCUGAUGCUUUGAGCAAGACUCUGGUAGUAGCAAAAUGGCAACUCCUGUAGUAGCAAAAAUCUAAGACGGUUGCAGCAAAAAAGAAAGCCAUCGCCGCCGUCGACCAACACCGCUGUUGGUGGAUGUAGCAAAAAUUAUCUGCGGUUCCAGCAAAAUCAAAAUAUGAUUGUAGCAAAAAUUGUCUUCGUUUCCAGCAAAAUCAAAGCAUGGUUGUAGCAAAAUCGACUAGAAAAAACAGGCGAUGUCAUGGAGAUGGAUGUAGCAAAAAUUCACAAAACACCAGUAGUAACAAAACCCAAAACGGUUGUAGCAAAAUGGUUCACUGGUUCCAGCAAAAAAUCACCAUGGUAGCAGAUUUGAGGUGAGUGGGUGGUAGCAAAAACAUGGGUUGGUUCCAGCAAAAAAAAACAUGGUUGGAGCAAAAAUCUUGUUGCGGCGGUCAUGGAGAGGAGCGCAACCAGCUGCGGGCGGCCAUGGCGGCGAGCGCUGGUUGCAGCACGCUCCCAGUAAAACGGGGCGCCGGUUGCAGGCUUGCAACUCCGCCGUAAGUGCGUUGUAUCUAGUCACCGUGGUAACACCCGGUGAUGGCUGGUAGUAGCUCCAUUGAUGAGAGGGGUGUUGGGGAGUAGGAAGGGGAGGGAGAAAAAAGUAGUUUAGGGGAGUCCGAUGGUGGCGAGGCUCGCCGGAGCUACAGAUGUGGUGGCGCGGGUGAGAGAUGAGGGUAGGCAGACGAGCUCUGGAGGGGAAAAGAGAAGGGAGAUAAAGAAAAAGCUAUGGAGAUGGAGAUUGUGUGGACAAGCAGUGUUGUUGCCUGCGGAUAAGAACGAGCGGUGGACGUGGGACCGAGACGCGUGGGCGAGCGUGAAGGAAACAGAGCGAGCGCGGACCGGCG
RNAcentral lists this long non-coding RNA (2531 nucleotides) under Triticum aestivum (bread wheat). RNAcentral's name for it is "long non-coding RNA (TAES_LNC024846)". The record is from RNAcentral. Lineage: Eukaryota; Viridiplantae; Streptophyta; Magnoliopsida; Poales; Poaceae.